Molecule: ribosomal RNA, 492 nt
Filed under: uncultured bacterium
Lineage: Bacteria
Description: partial 16S ribosomal RNA
Rfam family: Bacterial small subunit ribosomal RNA
Source: RNAcentral
AGUGAACGCUGGCGGUAGGCCUAACACAUGCAAGUCGAACGGCAGCACAGUAAGAGCUUGCUCUUACGGGUGGCGAGUGGCGGACGGGUGAGGAAUACAUCGGAAUCUACUUUUUCGUGGGGGAUAACGUAGGGAAACUUACGCUAAUACCGCAUACGACCUACGGGUGAAAGCAGGGGAUCUUCGGACCUUGCGCGAUUGGAUGAGCCGAUGUCGGAUUAGCUAGUUGGCGGGGUAAAGGCCCACCAAGGCGACGAUCCGUAGCUGGUCUGAGAGGAUGAUCAGCCACACGGGAACUGAGACACGGUCCAGACUCCUACGGGAGGCAGCAGUGGGGAAUAUUGGACAAUGGGCGCAAGCCUGAUCCAGCCAUACCGCGUGGGUGAAGAAGGCCUUCGGGUUGUAAAGCCCUUUUGUUGGGAAAGAAAAGCAGCAGGUUAAUACCCCGCUGUUCUGACGGUACCCAAAGAAUAAGCACCGGCUAACUUCGUG